UUUUUACAGAUUUACUUGAAGAGGUUUGUAGGAUGCAAAGACUUUCCUAAUAAUAUUCAGACCCCGUUUUUGGUUUUGACAAACCAAAUGGCCUCUUCUUCUCUUUUUACUUAGUGGCAGUCUGAGUAACUUUACUUCGUGAUGCUAUUUGCCUGGAAACCUUUAAGUCAUUAUGAAGUCUGAUGUACCCCCAGGUUGACUCAGCUCCCCAGACCCUGAUAGUGUUGGAAACUGCGGUGACCGAUGGAAUAAAGCCUUAUCAGAGAAAAGAGUGUCCUAAAUUCUCUAUUUCUCUAACUUUCCUCCAGUUGGCAAUGCGUAAUAUCAAACAAGUAAAGACAUUUAAAACACAAACAGACAAACCUGGAUACUCAAACUGCGUGUGACUCUGAAGUGGAAUCGGUCUGGGUUGCUGUCCGGAUCUCACCAAGGUGAACCCUUGCACACACUCCUGAGCUCUCAUGUUAAGGACACGCUUCCAGUAGCUGUCACCAUCCCUUUUGGGAACUUGGGAUCACAGGUGGCAACAUGGCUGACAUCUUUGUGUGUUGCCACACUUUUUCUUCUGGCUGAACGUUACAGGUGUGGAUUUGGGCAGCCCAUCAAUGUGUUUAAUCUGGAUCAAGAGAUCUCAAUAAGGGUUCCAUUAGGCCCUGAAGCCGUCUCAUUUCUCAGCCCUGUCUGGGCUUUGCACAUUCCCUCAUGAAAAAAGAGGGUUUGGCGAUUAUCAUCUCUACCUGUAGCUUCUCCUGGACAAAUGCAUCCCUUAUUAUGGUAGAAAUCUAGUCAAUAUAGCUGUCAGGGAGUUCCUGUCGGGGCUCAGAGGUUAAUGAACCUGACUGGUACCCCUGAGGACGCUGAUUCAGUCCCGGGCUUUGCUCAGUGUUAGUGGGUUAAAGAUCCAGCGUUGCCAUGAGCUGUGGUGUAGCUCACAGAUGCAGCUCAGAUUCCGUGUUGCUGUGGCUGUGGUGUAGGCUGGCAGAUGUAGCUCGGAUUCCACCCCUAGCCUGGGAACCUCCUUAGGCCAUGGGUGUGGCCCUAAAGAGACAAAACAUAAAAAAAUUUUUUAUUUUUUUAUAAAAAAUAAAGCUGUCAGAAUUCUUAAACUAUUGACA
This 1115-nucleotide long non-coding RNA is filed under the name Sus scrofa (pig). RNAcentral's name for it is "lncRNA (ENSSSCG00050055841.1)". Lineage: Eukaryota; Metazoa; Chordata; Mammalia; Artiodactyla; Suidae. The record is from RNAcentral.